GUAUUGAUGAAUAUUGGUAUUCUAUUCCAAGUAGUGCUUAGGCACAGAGCUGCACUGAAGACAAUAUUGAGGUUAUUUCACUUGGAAAAUUACCACACCCUUCAUUUGCAGCAGAGGCUAGGUUACUCUUACAUCUCUCCCACCUCACUUUCUCUUUUAGAUAUUCAUAUUCCCUACACUCCCACAUCCCUGGGUGGUAGUGAAGAGUUUUAAACACUUACAUAUAUUUUUUGUUUAUGGGAAAGCCUGUGUACAUUUGCUUCUUAAUACUUGCUACUUGAAUGCCUCUAGCUUCUUGAUUUACUCGUGUUUAAUCAUCAGGUUUGCACAUGGUCUUUAAGUGGUAUGGGAUUAAACAUUUUAUUGUACUCUUAAAUCCUGAGAAUUUUCUUCCAAUGUAAGUCACAUAAAGUCUCCAGAAGAGGUUUUUUAAAAUGUUUUAAAAACUUAUUCCUAUGGAGUAAAAUCUACAUUAUUGUUAUACAAUACUAUGAGUAUUUAUACUAAUACAGUUUCUUGUAACCAUCACCACAGAAAGGAUACAAAACAAUUUCAACGCUGUCAAAUAAUUCCAUCAUAAUGUCACCUGUCUAUUCUGACUCUGGUACCCCUUAUUUUUUUCUUUGUUCCUAUGUUUUAGUCUUCUCUCCAAUUUUAUAUAAAUAGAUGAUACAGUAUUGUAACCUUUGAGACUGGGUUAUUUCAUUUAGGAAAAUACAUUUUAGAUUCUUCCAAGUUGUUGCAUUUAUUAAGAAUUUGCCUUUUUAUGUUGCUGUAUAGAAUUUCAUCGUGCAGCUGUACUAACAAGUUUACGUAUCCAUUCAUGCAUUAAAGGACAUAUGGGUUAUAUCUAGUUUGCAGCAAUUAUAAAUAGGGCUGUUAUACACAUUCAAAUACAGGUGUUUGUGUAAAAAAAUAUUUUAUUUCUCUAGGAUAAAUACUUAGAGUGGGUUUUCUGGGUUGUAUAUUAAGUGUAUGUUUAAGGUUAUGAGAAACCACCAAAGAGUUUUCCCGUGUGACUGUGCUAUUUUACAUAGCCACCAGCAGUAUUUAAGGGUUCAUACUUCUUCCCAUUCUUUCUAGAACUUGGUCGUGUCAUUACUCUUUAUUAAACCAUUCUACUCGGUGUGUAAUAGUAUCUCAUUGUGCAUGUGAUUUGCAUUUCUGUAAUAACUAGUGAUAUUGAGCAUCUUUUCACAAGCUUAUUUGCCAUCCAUAUACCUUUUUUGAUGAGGUAUCUGUUAAAAUCUUCAGCCCAUUUUUUUAAAUUGGACUGUUUCUUUUUUAUUGUUCAGUUUUGUAAGUUCUUUAUAUAUUCUAUAUACAAGUCCUUUAUCUGAUAUGCAGUUUGCAAUUUCUUUUUCUAGUUUCUGACUGAUCUUUUUAUUUUAUUAAAAGUGUCCAUAACAGAGAAAAAAAUACUUUUCAUUUUGAUGAAUUCUAAUUUAUCAUUUUUUUCUUUUACGGAUUAUGAUUUUGGUAUUGUAUAUAAAAAUGCUUUCCUAACUCAGCAUCACAAAGAUUUUCUCUUUUGUUUUCAUCUAAGAGUUUUAUAGUUUUAUGUUUUAUAUUCAGUUUUAUUGUUUUACAUUUAUAUCAUUUUAAAUUUAAAUUUGAGUUAAUUUUUUAAUAUAGUGCAAGGUGUAGGUUGAUAAAUAAUUUUUUAAGUGGAUGCCAGUUGUUCCAGCAUCAUUUGUUGAAAAAGCUGCCCUUUCUCUAUUGAAUUGCCAUUGCAACUUUGUCAAAAAUCAGAUGAUAAUAUUGGAGUGGGUCUGUUUCUAGAAUAUCUUUCUAUUUCAUUGAUCUAUGUUUUUUUUAUGAUGAUCAUGGAAAAUAUUUAAUAGAUUUUUUUAUGUAGAUCAAUAUAAUUGAUCUACAUUAUAUUUUUAUGAAUAUACUGCCUUGACACUGUAGCUAUGUAGUGUAUCUUAGAGUUGAAUAUUGUGAGUCCUCCACAUCUGCUCUUCUUUCUUAGUCUUGUUGUAGCUAUACUAGUUCCUUUAGGUAUUCCACAUACAUAUUAGCAUAAAAUUUUCUAUAGGUACAAUGAACCCAUGCAUAAAUUUUGAUUCAGAUUGUGUUAAAUCCAUAUAUUGAUUGGAGAAAAAUUGCUAUUUCAAACUUACUGAGUUCAAUCCAUGAGUUUUGUAUAUUUCUUUCUUUAGGAUUUCUUUGGUAUGUUUCUUAAAUACUUUGUACUUUCUAGCAUACAGAUUCUGAACAAGUUUUGUUAAGUUUAUAUUUAAGUAUUUAAUUUUUUAGCUAUUAUACAUUUUUUAAAAACUUUGGUUUGAAAUUUUUCAUUGCUAGUGGAUAGAAAUACUACUGAUCUUUUUGCAGACUGAUAUGUAACCUAUGAUCUUGUUUAACUUGCUUGCUAGCUCUAGCGGUAUUUUUGGUAGACUUGUUGAGACUUUCUGUGUAAACAAUUAUGUUACAUGUGAAUAAAAACAGUUUUAUUACCUCCUUUCCAAUCUGAAUGCUUUUUUUGGUCUUUUUCUUGCCUUUUGGAACUGGCUAGAACUUGGGAUAGGAUGUUGAACAAGACUGGUAAGAGCAGACACCCUUGUCUUGAUCCUGAUCUUAGGGUAAAGGCAAGAAUGGUGCUAACUGUAGGUAUUUCUGUAAACACACACUUUAUCAAACUGAAUAAUUGUUUUUGUAUUUCUAAUUUGCUGAAGUGUUAUUUUUAAUUAUGAAUGAAUGUUGAAUUUUAUCAAAUGCUUUUUCUGCCUCUAUUAAUAGGAAUAUGUGAUUUUUCUUUUUAACAAUGUUACGUGAAUUACAUUAAAUAAUUUUCAGCUUUUGAACCAGUCGUGCAUUCCUGGGACAAACUUUAAGUGAUUGCAAUGAAUUACUGUUUUUAUACAUUGAUUCGUAUAAUUAAUAAUUAUUGUUAUUAUUAUUAAUCAAUAGUAAUUUUCCUUAUUCUGAAAUCUACUGUUUGUAGUAAUCAUAUAGCCAUUCUUUUCUUUGAAUCAUGUUUGAAUCAUAGAUCUUUUUUCAUUUUUUCAUUUUUAAUCUAUCUGUAUUAUGUUUCAUGUGGGUUUCUUGUAGACAGCACCUACUUAGUUCAUAUGGACAGCAUCUAUUUGUUUUUAUGUUUAUCCAAUCUGGCAAUCUCCAUCAUUUAGUGUUUUCAGAUAAUUUACAUUUAAUUAUUGAUAUAGUUAUAUAUCUGCCUACCAGUUUAUUAUUAUUCUUUUUGAUUCUUCUCUUUUUCAUUCUCUUAUUUCAUUCUCCCCCUUCUCUCUUUUAACUUAUUUUGGUUCUUUUUUUGUAGCUUUUAUUAAUUUGUGAGAACGUCUAUGAUUCCAUUCAUACCAAGAGUUUUUGCACAUUCUUCUUGGGCCAUGGUUAUUGCUUGGUUUUUAAUAUUCAUCUUUGACAGUUUUUUUUAUAAGAGUGUCAUUUCCACCUUACCCUAGGUCUUAUUAUGACCCAAUGAAAGCUAAUGGCAAUUUUUCCUACAUGAGUAGCCAGAUUCUCCAUAAAUGAAAGUUUAAAAAAUGAUUUUUCUCUACUUAAAAGGGAGGGAGGCAGCCGUCCUUCCUGAAGGCUCUUCUUAAAAACAUAAUGUCUUUAAUCAAAACUCUAAUUCUUUAAUAUAUAAGUAAAAUAGCCCCAGGAGCCAGACCGCCCUGUGCAUCUCCAGUUUUACAACAUAGAAAUGUUUCUAACUCCUGGGAAUUAAUCUCUUUUUAGCAGGUAAAUACCCAAGAAGAUAGUGAGCCAAUCUCCCCAGCUUCUUGGGAGUUUAUACUAGGGAUCUAGUCUGGACUAUACACAUUUGGCCUUGACAGAUAAAUUAAAGUUUUAUUAUCCUUUAAGAUCUGAGCAAUUCAUUAGGCAAAUCACUAUAGGUCUAAUUUUUCAGAUGUUUCAAGAGUCUCAGGAGGCUAGGGCUUUUAUAGGAGCACUGGUAAAUUUAGAGGUUUAUUUCUCCAUAGUUAUAAUAUUUAAGUUAAAUUUUCUGAUAAUUCUGAUAUUUAGGUAAUGUUGGGUUUGGUAUCUAGGGAUUGUCUUUUUUUCUUAAAAGAUGUUUAGAUUUUCCUGAUAAAUGUCUAUUUUAAAUCUUAUCCCGAGUAUUUUGAAUAUUACAUCAUGAGGUUCUGGAUCCUAUUUAAAUCUUCUGCAUUUCUGUUCUUGUGGCUAUUUAUUUUAGGAAGUGGUCAGCCCAGUUAGGAUCAGACUACAUAGCUUUACCCACUUUCUGUGGACUGUGGUUUCAAUGUUAAUUUGAUUUUCAAAGCUUUUGUCUAUUUGGAUAUUCUACAUAUAUACGAUCAGGUUGUUUGCAAACAAAUACAGUUUUAUAUCUUCUUUCUCAGUCUGUAUACCUUUUAUAUUCCUUUCUUGUCUUAUUGCACUACCUAGUUCAGUGUUGUCUUUCUUGCCUUGUUGCACUAGCCAGUAUGAUGUUGAAAAUAUAGUUGAGGGUGGACAUCCUUGCCUUGUUCCAGAUCUUAGUGGGAAAGUUUUGAAUUUCUCACCAUUGAGUAUGAUGUAAGCUCUAGGUUUGUUUGUAGAUGGUUCAUCACGAAAUUGUGGAAGUUCCCCUCUAUUCGUAGUAUACUUAAUAUUUUUAUCAUGAAUGGGUAUUGGAUUUUGUCAAAUGUUUUACUUUUUCUGCAUGUACUGAUAUGAUCAUGUAAUUUUUCUUCUUCAGCCUAUUGAUGCGAUGGAUUACUUUGAUUAUUGAAUUUCGAACCAGCUUUGUAUACCUGGGGUAAAUUCCACCUGGUCAUGGUACAUAACUCUUUCCACACAUUGGCAUCUAUGCUCAUGAUGGCCUCUGUCAAUAGUUUUUUUUAAUUGUCUUAUUUUAGUAUUAAUACAAUGGGAAUAUUUUCUAACUUAUUCUAUGGGGCCAGCAUUGUUCCAGUUCCAUAGAUUGAGUUAGAAAAUAUUCCCAUGACUUCUGUCAUUGGAACGACAGAUUGUAGAUAAUUGGUCUAAUUUAUUCCUUAAAUGGUAGAAUUAACUGAUGAAUUGGUAGAAUUCACCAACGAACCUAUCUUCACCUGGUACUUUCAGUUUUGGAAGUUUAUUAAUUGUUGAUCUAAUUUUUAAUAAAUAUAGGCCUAUUCAGAUUGUCAAUUUCUUCCUGUGUAACUUUUGUCAGAUUGUGUCUUUCAAGAAAUUAGUUUAUUUUGUCUAGGUAAUCAAAUUGGUGGGCAUAGACUUAUUCAUAAUAUUCCUUAUUAUCUUUUUAAUGUCCAUGAUCUGUAGUAAUAUGUCCUCUUUCAUUUCUGGUUUUAGUAAUUUGUCUCUUCCUUUUUUUUUCCUUAGCCUGGCUAGAGGUUUAUUGAUUUUAUUGAUAUUUUAAAGGAAUAGCUUUUGGUUUUAUGGUAUUUUCUAUUGAUUUAUUUUUGAUUUAAUUUAUUUCUCCUCUAAUUUUUAUAAUUUAUUUUAUUCUGCUUACUUUGAAUUUAAUUUGGUCUUCCAUUUUCUAGUUUCCUAAGGUGAAAGUUUACAUAAUUGAUUUUAGAUCUCUCUUCUUUUCUAAUAUGUGAAUUCAGUGCUAUAAAUUUUCCUGUGAGCAUGCUGUUGCUGCAUCCCAUAAAUAUUGAUGUUAUAUUAUAAUUUUCAUUUAGUUAAAAUAUGUUUAAAUUUUUCUUGAAAUAUCUUCUUUGACUCAUGUGUUAUUUAGAAGUGUGUUGUUUAAUCUCCAAUAAUUUGUGAUUUUACACCUAUCUUUCUGUUAUUGAUUGCUAGUUUAAUUCCAUUAUUACCUCAGAACAGAUGUUGUAUGAUUUAUAUUCUUUUUAAAAUUUUAAGGUGUGUUUUAUGGCCCAAAAUGUAGUCUGUCUUGGUGACUGUUCCAUUUAAGUUUGAAAAAAAUGUGUAAUCUUCAUUCAACAAUUUCAUUCAGAGACAAGGAAAAAACAUAAAUCAGAUAUUUAGUUCAACAAAAAUAAAGGAAGAACAUCAGAAAUGAAUAAAUGAAGGUGUAUUAGUCUGUUCUCACACUGCUAGUAAAGACAUACCUGAGACUGGGUAAUUUAUAAAGGAAAGAGGUUUAAUUGACUCAUAAUCCCAUAUGGCUGGGGAGGCCUCACAAUCAUGGCAGAAGGAGAAUGAAGAGCAAAGUCAUGUCUUACAUGGCGGCAGGCAAGAGGGAGUGUGCAGGGGAACUCUCUUUAUAAAACCAUCAGAUCUUGUGAUACUUAUUCACUAUCAUGAGAACAACACAGAAAAGAUUCACCCCCAUGAUUCAGUUACCUCCCACCAGGUCCCUCCCAUGACACAUGGGAAUUAUGGAAGCCACAAUUCAAGAUGAGAUUUGGAUGGGUACACAGCCAAACCGUAUCAGAAAGUAAAAUAAAACAUUUUAAUUUUCUUGUUCUCAAUUUAUCUCAAAAAUAACAGUUUGUUCAUACUAAUAACAGCAACAAUAUGUGUGCAUAUAUGCACAUACAUAUAUAUAUGCUUAUGUAUAAGCAAAAUAAAUGACAGCAGUGAUACAAGGGCUAGAAGGGAGGAAUUAGGAAUUUUUGUUAUUAUAAGGUACUUGCUUUGUCUAUGAAGUGUUAUUUGAGUGUGGACUUUUUUUUCUUAUUCUUAAUUAUUAGUUGUUGAAUGAAGUGGCCUAUUGAUGUCAAUUUUAUUCAGUUGAUUGAUGGUACUGUUGAACUGAACUAUGUCCUUACUGAUUGUGUGCCCAGUGGAUCUGUAAAUUUCCAACACAGGAGUGUUAAAGUCUUGAACUAUAAUAGUUGAUUCAUCUGUUUCUCCUCCCAAUUCUAUCAGUUUUGCCUGACAUACUUUGAUGCCCUAAGGAUCAUCAUGCCUUCUCGGGUUAUUGACCUCUUUAUCAUUAUGUAAUGCUCCUCUUUAUUCUUGAUACAUUUUCUUGCUCUGAAGUCUUCUGUGCUUGAAAUUAACAUAACUACUCCUACUUAUAAAAAUUAGCAUGGUAUAACUUUCUCCAUCCCUUUACUUUUAAUCUAUAUGUAUUGUUAUAUUUAAAAUGGGUUUCUUUCAGAAAACAUAUAAUUGAGUCUUGUUUUUGAUCUACUCUCUGACAUUCUGCCUUUUAAUUGGUAUAUUUAGAUCAUUGAUAUUAAGUGAUCAUUAAUAUAACUGAAUUAACAUUUACCAGAUUUGUUACAGUUUUCUAUUUGUUGCCCUUACUCUUUGUUUCUAUUUCUGUCUUUCUUUCUCUGCAUUUUGUGGUUAUAAUUGAACAUUUUAUAUUAUUUCAUUUUGCUCUCCUUUCUUAACAUAUUAAAUAUACUUCUUUUAACUUGUUGUGGUGGUUGCCCUAAUGUUUGCAAUAUAUGUUUACAACUAACCAAAUCCAGACUCAAAUAAUACAUAUUACUUCAUGGGCAGAGCAAAUACCUUAUGAUAGCAAAAUAUUUCUUUUUUUUUAUUAUACUUUAAGUUUUAGGGUACAUGUGCACCAUGUGCAGGUUAGUUACAUAUGUAUACAUGUGACAUGCUGGUGCACUGCACCCACUAAUUCAUCAUCUAAUAUUAGGUAUAUCUCCCAAUGCUAUCCCUCCCCCCUCCCCCCACCCCACAACAGUCCCCAUGUGUGAUGUUCCCCUUCCUGCAUCCAUGUGUUCUCAUUGUUCAAUUCCCACCUAUGAGUGAGAAUAUGUGGUGUUUGGUUUUUUGUUCUUGCGAUAGUUUACUGAGAAUGAUGAUUUCCAAUUUCAUCCAUGUCUGUACAAAGGACAUGAACUCAUCAUUUUUUAUGGCUGCAUAGUAUUCCAUGGUAUAUGUGUGCCACAUUUUCUUAAUCCAGUCUAUCAUUAUUGGACAUUUGGGUUGGUUCCAAGUCUUUGCUAUUGUGAAUAGUGCUGCAGUAAACAUACAUGUGCAUGUGUCUUUAUAGCAGCAUGAUUUAUAGUCCUUUGGGUAUAUACCCAGUAAUGGGAUGGCUGGGUCAAAUGGUAUUUCUAGUUCUAGAUCCCUGAGGAAUUGCCACACUGACUUCCACAAUGGUUGAACUAGUUUACAGUCCCAUCAACAGUGUAAAAGUGUUCCUAUUUCUCCACAUCCUCUCCAGUACCUGUUGUUUCCUGACUUUUUAGUGAUCGCCAUUCUAACUGGUAUGAGAUGAUAUCUCAUUGUGGUUUUGAUUUGCAUUUCUCUGAUGGCCAGUGAUGGUGAGCACUUUUUCAUGUGUUUUUUGGCUGCAUAAAUGUCUUCUUUUGAGAAGUGUCUGUUCAUAUGCUUCACCCACUUUUUGAUGGGGUUGUUUGUUUUUUUCUUGUAAAUUUGUUUGAGUUCAUUGUAGAUUCUGGAUAUUAGCCCUUUGUCAGAUGAGUAGGUUGCGAAAAUUUUCUCCCAUUUUGUGGGUUGCCUGUUCACUCUGAUGGUAGUUUCUUUUGCUGUGCAGAAGCUCUUUAGUUUAAUUAGAUCCCAUUUGUCAAUUCUGGCUUUUGUUGCCAUUACUUUUGGUGUUUUAGACAUGAAGUUCUUGCCCGUGCCUAUGUCCUGAAUGGUAAUGCCUAGGUUUUCUUCUAGGGUUUUUAUGGUUUUAGGUCUAACGUUUAAGUCUUUAAUCCAUCUUGAAUUGAUUUUCAUAUAAGGUGUAAGGAAGGGAUCCAGUUUCAGCUUUCUACAUAUGGCUAGCCAGUUUUCCCAGCACCAUUUAUUAAAUAGGGAAUCCUUUCCCCAUUGCUUGUUUUUCCUCAGGUUUGUCAAAGAUCAGAUAGUUGUAGAUGCAAUAAAAAAUGAUAAAGGGGAUAUCACCACUGAUCCCACAGAAAUACAAACUACCAUCAGAGAAUACUACAAACACCUCUACGCAAAUAAACUAGAAAAUCUAGAAGAAAUGGAUAAAUUCCUCGACACAUACACUCUCGCAAGACCAAACCAGGAAGAAGUUGAAUCUCUGAAUAGACCAAUAACAGGAGCUGAAAUUGUGGCAAUAAUCAAUAGCUUACCAACCAAAAAGAGUCCAGGACCAGAUGGAUUCACAGCCAAAUUCUACCAGAGGUACAAGGAGGAACUGGUACCAUUCCUUCUGAAACUAUUCCAAUCAAUAGAAAAAGAGGGAAUCCUCCCUAACUCAUUUUAUGAGGCCAGCAUCAUCCUGAUACCAAAGCUGGGCAGAGACACAACCAAAAAAGAGAAUUUUAGACCAAUAUCAUUGAUGAACAUUGAUGCAAAAAUCCUCAAUAAAAUACUGGCAAACUGAAUCCAGCAGCACAUCAAAAAGUUUAUCCACCAUGAUCAAGUGGGCUUCAUCCCUGGGAUGCAAGGCUGGUUCAAUAUACACAAAUCAAUAAAUGUAAUCCAGCAUAUAAACAGAACCAAAGACAAAAACCACAUGAUUAUCUCAAUAGAUGCAGAAAAGGCCUUCAACAAAAUUCAACAACCCUUCAUGCUAAAACCUCUCAAUAAAUUAGAUAUUGAUGGGAUGUAUCUCAAAAUAAUAAGAGCUACCUAUGACAAACCCACAGCCAAUAUAAUACUGAAUGGGCAAAAACUGGAAGCAUUCCCUUUGCAAACUGGCACAAGACAGGGAUGCCCUGUCUCACCACUCCUAUUCAACAUAGUGUUGGAAGUUCUGGCUAGGGCAAUUAGGCAAGAGAAGGAAAUAAAGGGUAUUCAAUUAGGAAAAGAGGAAGUCAAAUUGUCCCUGUUUGCAGAUGACAUGAUUGUAUAUCUAGAAAACCCCAUUGUCUCAGGCCAAAAUCUCCUUAAGCUGAUAAGCAACUUCAGCAAAGUCUCAGGAUACAAAAUCAAUGUACAAAAAUCACAGGCAUUCUUAUACACCAAUAACAGACAAACAGAGAGCCAAAUCAUGAGUGAACUCCCAUUCACAAUUGCUUCAAAGAGAAUAAAAUACCUAAGAAUCCAGCUUACAACGGACGUGAAGGACCUCUUCAAGGAGAACUACAAACCACUGCUCAAUGAAAUAAAAGAGGAUACAAAGAAAUGCAAGAACAUUCCACGCUCAUGGGUAGGAAGAAUCAAUAUCGUGAAAAUGGCCAUACUGCCCAAGGUAAUUUGUAGAUUCAAUGCCAUCCCCAUCAAGCUACCAAUGACUUUCUUCACAGAAUUGGAAAAAACUACUUUAAAGUUCAUAUGGAACCAAAAAAGAGCCUGCAUCGUCAAGUCAAUCCUAAGCCAGAAGAACAAAGCUGGAGGCAUCACGCUACCUGACUUCAAACUAUACUACAAGGCUACAGUAACCAAAACAGCAUGGUACUGGUACCAAAACAGAGAUAUAGAUGAAUGGAACAGAACAGAGCCCUCAGAAAUAACGCCACAUAUCUACAACUAUCUGAUCUUUGACAAAUAGCAAAAUAUUUCUAAUUCCUCCCUUGUAGCUCUUGUAUCACUGCUGUCAUUCACUUGCUAGCACAUUAGCAUAUACACAUGCGCAUAUACACACAUUGUUGCUAUUAUUAUUUUGAACAAACUUAUCUGUGAGGUAAAUUGAGAACAAGAAAAAUAAUUUUUUUAUUUUACAUUUGUUUAUUCAUUUCUGAUGCUCUUCCUUUAUUUUUAUUUAUACAAAUUUCUGACGUAUAUUAUUUUCCAUGUCUCCAAAUAACUUAACAUUUCUUGCAAAGCAGGUCUACGGGCAACACAUUACCUCAAUUUUUUUCUUUUGUCUAAAAAAGUCUUUAUUUCUCCUUAAUUUUUGAAGGAUAAUUUUCCACAAUAUAGCAAUCUGGAAUUCUGUAAUUCUAGAAUUAAUGGUGCUUUUUUCCCUCUUGACACUUUAAAUAUUUCGCUCCACUCUCUUCUUGUUUACAUGGUUCCUAAGGAUAAGUCACAUGUGAUUCUUAUCUUUGCUUCUCUAUAGGUAAGGUGUUUCUCCCUCCACUCUGGCUUUCUCUAGAAUUUUUUUCUUUAUCUUAGAUUGUUUGAAAUUUGAGUAUGAUAUGCCUACAUGUAGGAUUUUUUUUUUUACAUUUAUCUUGCUUGAUGUUUUCUGCAAUUCCUGGAUCUAUGAUUUUGUGUCAGCAUUAAUUUGGGGGAAACUCUCAGUCAUUAUUUCUUCAUAUAUUGCUUCCAUUUCUUUCUUUUCCUCUCAUUACCGCUAUUAUGUGUUUGUUACAGCUUUUCUAUUUGUUUUGAAGUUCUUGGAUAUUUUGUUCUGUUUGGAGAUUUCUUUUCCAUCUUUUUUCUCUUUGAUUUUUGGUUUUGGAGGUUUCUAUUGAUACAUCCUCAAGCACCAAGAUUCUUCUUUCACCUACAUCUAGUUUACAAAUAAGUCCAUCAGAGACAUUCUUUAUUUUUGAUACAGUGAUAUUGCUUUGUAGCAUUUUAAAAAUUCUUUCUUAGAAUUUUAAUCUCUCUGCUCAGCUUACAUUAAUCAUCUAUUAUUGCAAGUUGUCUACUUUUUCCAUUAAUGCCCUUAACAUAUUAAUCGUAGUUUUAAAAAAUAUCAUGUUCAGAUAAUUCCAAUAUUCCUGUCAUAUGAAACUCUGUUUCUAAUGCUUCUUCAGUCUAUUCAAACUGUGUGUGUGUGUGUGUGUGUGUGUAUUUGUGUGGUUUGUUAUUUAUUUUACCUUUUAGUAUGCCUUGUAAUUGCCUGUUGAAAUACUGACAUGAUGUACUGUGUAAAAAGAACUUCAGUAAGUAGGCCUUUGCUGGUGUAUUGGUAAGAUGCAGGGGGAGGAGAAGUAUUCUGUACUCCUAUGAUUAAAUCUUAGUUGUUUCAUGAACAUGUAUCCUUGGACUGUGAACUUCAUCAGUUCUUUGUAGAUUUUUCCCCUCUUAAAAUAGGAUGAGGGCUGGCGCGGUGGCUCACGCCUGUAAUCCCAGCACUAUGGGAGGCCGAGAUGGGUGGAUCACGAGGUCAGGAGAUCGAGACCAUCCUGGCUAACACAGUGAAACCCCGUCUCUACUAAAAAAUACAAAAAAUUAGCCAGGCGUGGUGGUGGGCGACUGUAGUCCCAACUACUCGGGAGGCUGAGGCAGGAGAAUGGCGUGAACCCGCAAGGCGGAGCUUGCAGUGAGCUGAGAUCGCGCCACUGCACUGCAGCCUGGGUGACAGAGUGAGACUCUGUCUCAAAAAAACAAACAAACAAAAAAUAGGUUGAAUAAAGGGGGCUGGAAUUGGAUAUUUCCUUUCUCCUAUGUCAGUUAGGCUCUGAGAAAACUCCAGCAGUUAGGUUCUGUUACAGAAUAGUUUCUUUUAAGGGUAGGCCCUGGAAAAAGGAACACAGUGUUUUGUCAUACAGCUCGGGUUUUACAACCUUGGCACUUGUUCCUGUAGAGGUUUCUGCUCCAAUAAAUUGUGUUUUUCUCUAUUUACUUGUCUGCCUCUACAGUUUUGGGGGAGUGGUUUUCCCUGUGAACUUCCUCUCUGACAAAUCUAAGAAGAAUUGUUUCUGUUAUUGUUUUUUAUUUUUUUUCAGUUUGUUUAACUUUCUACUUGUUAGAAUGGAGUGGUGAAUUCGAAGCUUCUUACUUGUAGUACCAAAACCAGAGGUCCCUUUUCCCUCUUUGGUUCACAAAACUCUCCUUUGCUGUUCUUAUGGGUAAUGAGUCAGGGCUUUGUCUCCCCACAGUUACCAGGAUUAUUCCUGCAACGUCUACAGGAACAGUGCCUCUGGGGAGAGGAAGGGGUCUUGUCUCUUUGCUGGCAGUUGCCUAACACAUGCCAGGGUAAGUCAACAGCGACCCACUCUCAGGAGCAGCAUGGCUGCUGCUGCAGAGAGCAAGUGGCACUGAUCCUUUCUGGGUUCUCUUGGUUUAGGGUAGGAGAGUACCCAGGGCUCCCUCCUGUAGGAUGUGUUGUACAGCUAGUGUGGAGAAGGGAAGGGGCACACCUUAAUUGCUGACAUUUACUUGGUGUAAGGUGUGGAGAGGUAACAAAUUUUCUGCAGCUCUGUAGAGAGAGGGGUGGGCCCUGCUUCUUCGUUGUCACUUAUCUGAAGUAGGGAGGACAAAACCUGUUUUAUGACUCCCCUACUUGUUUUCCUGGGCCUCUGACCAGACACAGCAGGCUCUUAGGGCUUUUUCUGUCUGUACUCAUUGUCAGUUACACAUGCUGAGCUGCUUUAGUCCUCGGGCCAGAUUAUACAGAAAGUAAAGCAAACAAAUGAACAAAAAUAACAAAAUCCCCAAACUUCCAAAUGACAGUGAACUCAUCACCAAGUUGUAUUUCAAGUUCUUAUGUUCUGACUGAGUCUACCAAUAUAUAUUUUAGCCCAGAGUUUUUCAUUGUUAUUGUGGAAGAUAUAAGUUACUUCAUUUUUUUCUAGAAGCAAACCCCAGAAUAGUUUUUAAACUGAAUGGAGCAAACAAACUACAAUUUGAAUGAAAGAAAAUGUUUAAAGUAACAUGAUUAACAAUUCACUGUGAUCAGAGUAUGCAGAGUCAAAGUUUUAUUUCCUCUUUCUCUAAUUAAAAGAGGAUCAGAAAAAAUAGCUAUUGGGUACUAGGCUUAGUACCUGGGUGAUGAAAUAAUCUGUACAACAGACUCCUGUGACAUGAGUUUAUUUCUAUAGCAAACGUGCUUAUGUACCCCCGAAUCUAAAAGUUAAAAAAAUUAAAAAUUAAAAAAGUUUGUACCUAUCUUCAGUUCAAACUUAACAGCUUAAUACUUCUUGUCAUGUUGGGAUGUGUUUCUUAAAUGUGAUUUUUUUUGAGUAAAAGGAAGGAACUUUAUAUUUUAGAACAUUUCACCUUUGUGUGCUAUUAUAAUAUUAUCUUGUUUUUAAACGACUCUAAAUUUUGUGAUAACCUGAAAUUGAAAUUUUUACUUCAUGUCUUUUGGUGUGUUGGCAAAAGAUGGUUCUGGUUGCAUGAACUUUUAAUUUCCUCCUUCUAAGAGAUUACUUCCAAUAUUCACCUGCAUUUCCGGCAGACUCAGUCAAUCAAAAUAUGAAAAUUUUGUAUGCAUAGUUAUUAUUAUUAGUCAAAAACCUUAGUCUUUUUUUGUUUUUAGAAUGAAAAGAGGAGUAUCAACCUAUUCAAAGAUAUGUUGUGUUUUAAUGCUUCUACUGAAAUCCUUCUCACUGUAUGUAACAGCAGAAUGAGAUAGGCAGAAAAUAGGCAGUUAAAAUGGAAAAAGAGAAAAACAUGCUAGAAUUAUUGGCAUCUAACAGAAACUUUGUCACUGGGUCUUGGAGUAUUUAGGGUGCAUAACAGGAAACCAUUCAGACCUUAAAUCUUUAAGUUAACUUCUCUCUAUAUAUGAAUUAAAUGACUAAGUUUUUAUUAAGUAUUUAUAUUUGAUAAGAAAAUUCUAUCUCAGUUUAAAUCAGAUUUGUCUUCUCUGUCUUUGAAAUCUCUUAGAGAAUUGUGAACUGAUACUUUAUACUGACUUUUUACUAGCUCCUAGCAAUAUUGCUUAGCAAAUUGAUUAUUUCCUUCUGAAAUGUUUGAUGAUGUAUCCAGCUCUUAUUAAAGUGCCCAAACCUUACUAUUUAACUACUUGACAAGGGUUGCCAGUGGUGAAUACCAUAUUCCACUUUAACUUUUUGGAAUAGGAAUUGAGGUCUUAAUCCAAUGAAAGUUUUAUUUGUAGAAAAAAAUAGACUGAAUAUUGUUUUUAAGUACAGUAAAAAUAUCUACACUUUUCCAGUUUCCCUAAGUAAACAUUUUAUGAGUAAUUAUUAGAAAGACAAAAAAGUGUGUAAGUUAUUGUUAGAAAGUCAUUCAUGCUUGCAAGGAUGUAGAGAAAAGGGAACUCAUACACGGUUAGUAGGAAUGUAAAUUAGUACAGCCGUUAUGGAAAAUAGCAUGGAGAUUUUUCGAAAAACUAAAAGUAGAACUACCAUAAGGUCUUGCAAUCCCACUACUGGGUAUUUAUCCAAAGGAAAAUAAAUUAGUAUGUCAAAGGGCUACAUUUACCCCCAUGUUUGUUGCAGCAGUGCUCAAGUAGCAAAGAUAUAGAAUCAACCUAAGCGAUCAUCAACAGAUGAAUGAAGAAAUAAAAUAUGGUAAAUGUGCAUAAUAGAAUAAUACUUGGCCAUAAAGAAAUAAUAAAAUCCUGCCAUUUGCAGCUAUUUGGAUGGAACUGGAUUUCAUUAUGUUAAGUGAAAGGAUCCAGGCACAGAAAGACAAUAUCUAUCCUCAUUCAUAUAUGGGAUCUGGGAUAGUUUAUCUUACAGAAACAGAGAGUAGAAUGAUACCAGAGGCUGAGAAGGGUAUGUGUGUGUCAAGUGGUGAAAGGACAUGAAAAGAGAUCGGUUAAUGGGUACAAAUAAACAGUUAGAUAGAAGGAAUAAGUUCUAAUAUUCAGUAGCAAAGUAGAGUGUCUAUAGUUAAUAACAAUGUAUAGUUCAAAAUAGCUAGAAAUUAGGACUUGGAACGUUUUCAACACACAGAAAUGAUAAAUACUCGAAGUGAUGGAUACCUUAAGUACCCUGAAUUGAUCAUUACACACUCUAUGCAUGUAACAAAAUAUCACAUGUACCCUAUAAAUAUGUACAAAUAUUUGUACCAAUAAAUUUAUAAAAAGAAUUUCGAGUACAAAAAAACCGUAAAAUUUAUAUUACCUAAAUCAAGCAGAUAUUCUAUUAAAAUUAUUACACCAAAAAUAUUUCAGGGAACUCUAUUUUCUUUUCUGUUCUCAUCAUAAGAAAAUGGAGCUCUAGAAUAGCUUUUUAUCAAUUUAAGAGGACAGUAUCCUUGCAGAUCCAAGUAAAAAUGAGGGCCUUCUUUAACUAUUAAGUAAUAAUCAAGUCUAUUUUUAAAGUGUUGAUUAGUUUUUGAAAGCCCAGCAUUGAGCUAGACAUUUAGGAAACUUUGAUGGAGGUUAAGGAGUUCUUAGAAAAAUUGUGUCUAAAAUCUGCUAGUUCUGCACUUGUAAGCUAAAAUUUGCAGAAGCUAAUAUGAUUGUUCUUGCUCAGUUCUCUUUGACUGCUGUGGCUUUUCAUGUGAAGAAACCUUCAGGCGUUUUCAUACAAAGAAAUGUACAGGAAACAAAUUGGGCUCUCUAAUUUCACUCUUUCACUUGUAGCUUAAGUGUAGGUUUCUUAAAUAAUCCCACUAAUAUUUGUGGGAACUUGGAAAUCUGGUGUUAACAUACUGUCUUUAAAGCCUACUCAGGACACGGUUCACAUGCCUUUUGCCUUUUUGAGGGUUGUUCUAACCAAAGUGUCACUAUUUGUUUUCCAAGGUAGCUAUUUUGUUUGCUAUUUUAGGAAUGAUUCUUCAACAUUGAAUAUAUUUCCAUAAAGUGACUGUGUAUCCAGCUAAGAUGCCUUGCCAUUUCAAUUCUACCAAGCAUUAAAUGACUAUUGGAUUUAAGUAGUUGCAACAUUGCUGAAUAGUUCCUGAGUAUUCACAUGAAUAUUGAUGAGUAUCUGGAAUCUCUCUGACAAGUUUCCUAGAUUACUUCAGUGUCAGAGGAAAUUUUUAAAAAUCUGUCUUCUUCGAACCAUUGCAUAGACAAUAUUGCACUGCAAACUGGCUCCUCCCAUCUUAUGAGGGUGUUUGAUUUGAACUGAUUUUUUAAAUUAAGAUUCUUAAAAAUGUAAUUGAAAAACCUGUGUAGGUCAGCUCAGUGAAAUCUUAAAAUAUUUUAAAUUCAUUAAAAUCUAUGCAAAAUUGGCAAUACCUAAGAAACAACAGAUGACAGGAAUUUACUAGUCCUAAUCUCAUAACAUUUAUAUACUCAAUUGUGGUGAGACUAUUGCCUUUUAAGUUCCAUGACUUUUUUAGGUACUUAAAUGCCAGUUAAUCACAGAUGCUUCGUAGAUUUUAUUUGGAGGGAAUGCAUUAAUGUGGUUUUUGAUAUUUUUCCCCCCAUAGGACAUUUGGUUGGCUUCUGUCCCUUGAAUGUUGCCAAGACAUAUUUCAACGCUUUCCCUUUUAAUGAUUCAGUUGUUGAAAUCAUCACUUGGCAUGCAAAUAAUAUUUAUGGGGCCAACAUAAAAAGCUACCACCCUUCCUUUAUGGCAUUUUAAAAACUGAUAGAUGAAUAAUAUUUGAUUUCACUCAGAUAUGACACAUAAUUCUUGAAAAUGAUUUUGCGUCUCAUAAUUUUUAAGAAUUUAUCUGCAGUAGGCAAAAAUGGGAAACUGUAAUAUUAUAUUAUAGGAAAUGUUGUAUAUUUCUUCCGAUUUUAAAAUACUCCUUGCUUUUAUAGAAAAACAAUCAACAUUUUCCCAUCCGCUUCUAAAAGCACUAAGACUAAGGACAAAAACUUAGUAAAAUUUAAAAUAACAAAGUGAAAGAGUGGCAGACUAGAUGUUUUGACAUUAAAUUUAGUUAAAACUCUAGUCAUAUUGGUUAGGUGACAAAAUAUGUGGGUGAUUUAUUUUUUAACAGUGAUUUGAACAGAUACCUUGGCAUUUUAGGAACUCAGGUACAGAGAGUCAUGGCACCAAUAAACACUAAUAAUUUUUGACGAUUAAAACUCUGGUUAGCCAAGAAAAAGAGAUGUUCUUCACUCAUUAAGGGAAUACCAAGUCAGAAUUCAUAGCAUCUAACUUUCCAAGUCUAUAUCCUAUCUGGUACAGCAAAGUAUUAUUUUUCAUGACUAAUGACUGACUACAGUAAGUACUAAAACAUAUAUCUGGCAGUAAAAGUUGUCUCUCUGAUCUCACCACAUCUUUUUAUUCUUACUAUCACGACCUUAACCUACUGUAGUAUCCUUUCAGGUGGUUUUCCUAUAUAAGCUGUGUCACCCACUCUCAACAAUUCUUUAUUUAUUUUCCACGAUGAAACUAAAAUAAGUCUGUGCUUUUCAGAAUCCACUCUGAAGUGAAAGAAGCUAAUCUGAAAAGGCUACAUACUGAGUGAUUCCAAUUAUAACAUUCUGGAAAAGGACCUUGAAGACAAUAUAAAGAUCCAUGGUUGCCAAGGGUUAGGGGAAAGGGAAGGGAUGAAUGAGCAGAGCACAGGGAGUAUUUGGAUAGAUACCAGCUUUGUGAACUUAAAGCAAGCAGUAUGAAUAUAGUUCUUCAACAGUGGGGAUUAUCUGAUGUCAGGGCUUCU
This is an RNA transcript of Homo sapiens (human), 17874 nucleotides long. It is a transcript of the gene named acyl-CoA synthetase short chain family member 3, with no coding region annotated. The transcript is spliced from 2 exons. The record is from RefSeq and is marked validated. Lineage: Eukaryota; Metazoa; Chordata; Mammalia; Primates; Hominidae.